UACGUAGGGUGCAAGCGUUGUCCGGAAUUAUUGGGCGUAAAGAGCUCGUAGGCGGUCUGUCGCGUCGGCUGUGAAAACCCAGGGCUCAACCCUGGGCCUGCAGUCGAUACGGGCAGACUAGAGUUCGGCAGGGGAGACUGGAAUUCCUGGUGUAGCGGUGAAAUGCGCAGAUAUCAGGAGGAACACCGGUGGCGAAGGCGGGUCUCUGGGCCGAUACUGACGCUGAGGAGCGAAAGCGUGGGGAGCAAACAGG
This 253-nucleotide ribosomal RNA is filed under the name uncultured bacterium. RNAcentral's name for it is "partial 16S ribosomal RNA". It matches the Rfam family "Bacterial small subunit ribosomal RNA", at positions 524 to 776 of the family's 1533-position model. The record is from RNAcentral.